GUGAAUCAUCAAAUUUUUGAACGCAGAUUGCACUCUCUUCUAAGAGUAUGCCUGUUUGAGGGUCAGCCUAAAAAAAAUCGACGUAGUCGCUGUUUCGCGGUGACUUUCGUCGGCAAUUGGGUCAUCUUAAACCUUUAGGUUUUUUAAGCGGCUCAAAAUUUUCUUUAAGAUUCCAAGAACGUGUCUAAGAUUUUACUUCUUACACACGUUU
RNAcentral lists this unclassified non-coding RNA (211 nucleotides) under Glomus sp. RNAcentral's name for it is "partial contains 5.8S ribosomal RNA and internal transcribed spacer 2". The stretch from base 1 to 65 matches the Rfam family "5.8S ribosomal RNA", at positions 84 to 154 of the family's 154-position model. Lineage: Eukaryota; Fungi; Glomeromycota; Glomeromycetes; Glomerales; Glomeraceae. The record is from RNAcentral.